Molecule: non-coding RNA, 133 nt
Organism: Heterocephalus glaber (naked mole-rat)
Lineage: Eukaryota; Metazoa; Chordata; Mammalia; Rodentia; Bathyergidae
Source: Rfam
ACCUUUGCAUAGUGGCAGUAUCGUAGCCAAUGAGGUUUAUCCAAGGCACAAGUAUUGCUAAUGGAAAACAAUAUGUGGUACGCAGAAAACAUUUGUUGAAUGAAUGAAUGAACAAUAUCAUUUUUACCUGAAA